UCUGGUGUGAGUCUUCCCUCUGCAGGCACUGAAGUGUGUCUCGCAGCUCAAAAGGGCAGUAUCUUUAAAAACAUUUAACCUACUGAUGCCUCAAUUAAAGUAAUUUUAUUGGUAUCUAUUUUUAUUUUUGAAAUUUACCAGUAGCUGCUGCAUUUUCCACCCUCGGCUUAUACUCUAAUCAAUAAGUUUCCCUAGUUUUUUAUGGUAAAAUUGGGUGCCUUGGCUUAUAUUCGGGUUGGCUUAUACUUGUGUGUGUGUGUGUGUGUGUGUUUGUGUGUGUACACGUACACACACACGUGCGUGCACACACGGCAUUUUGAAGGCACGCACGCGCACACACACAUGGCAUUUUGAAGCCUCCCAUAACUGAACACUAAUUUUAAUUCUUUAAUGCUGCCCAGAGUACACACACACGUGCGUGCACACACGGCAUUUUGAAGCCUCCCAUAACUGAAACUAAUUUUAAUUCUUUAAUGCUGCCCAGAAAGAGGGACGUUUCUCCUACUCAUUUUUAAUAUAUAUAUUGAUUCAGUUUGGACAUGCAGGUGCCUUUAUCAGUUUCCCUUAGUAGUGUGCUAGUGUGUAGCUUGGGGAAAUACAACCUGGCUUUUUCCUUCACCCUCUAAAUAAUUUUAUUUUAUUUUAUUAUUAUUUUUUUUUAGGGAAAUCCAACAUGAAAGGUUCUCCCAAAAUGGCAGUGAAACAAAUUGAAGACUUGGUGAAUGUGAGAGAAAACAGGACUGACUAUUUGGAUCCCAGGGAUCUGGACGAUAUAUGUGGCUUAGCAAAUUACUCUGACAGUGCCCGGAGGGAUCAGAAGAAUCCAUGGCAUGGCAUGCUGCAAGAUAACGUGAGUAGGGGGCUUGCUCUGUGCCACUCCCUGCAGUGGCAUUACGAUAGGUUUUAUUACUCCUUUCCAGAGGUCUAGAGCAGGCUUGUCCAACCCGCGGCCCAAGGACCGCAUGCGGCCCAGGUCAGCUCGUAAUGCGGCCCAGGGAGAGAGGGAAGGAAGGAGUGGGAGGGGAGGGGACGGGGGGCUGCAUGACUGCAUUGCACCAUCCCCAUAAAUAGGUGGACCCCCUCCCGGCCCCAUAAAGCCACCGGAGUCAAAGCUGGCAGCCUCUGCUGUCUGAGAUCGCAGCUGCCGGUAAGUGCGCUUGGAGCGUGGCUGCGGAGGAUGGCUAGGGCUGCCCCCCCCCAUGCGGCCCAAACCGAAUUUUCAUCUUCUAAUGUGGCCCAGCGAAGGGGAAAGGGUGGACACCCCCGGGCUAGAGG
This 1275-nucleotide long non-coding RNA is filed under the name Pogona vitticeps (central bearded dragon). RNAcentral's name for it is "lncRNA (ENSPVIG00000006644.1)". Lineage: Eukaryota; Metazoa; Chordata; Lepidosauria; Squamata; Agamidae. The record is from RNAcentral.